Malania oleifera is the source of this 681-nucleotide long non-coding RNA. RefSeq lists it as uncharacterized. The record is from RefSeq and is a predicted model, not a curated record. The transcript is spliced from 2 exons. NCBI's taxonomy places the organism in Eukaryota, Viridiplantae, Streptophyta, Magnoliopsida, Santalales, Ximeniaceae.
AUGGAACUUUGAAUACCUUAACUUUGAGUAGGGAGGCAAGAGAGAGAGAGAGAGUUGGGUUUUCACACGUUGGGGAGGAUGGAAGAAGGGAGGGAGCAUUCUAAACGCGCAUAAAAUUGCAUUUCACAAAAGGGUUUCCAAACUUGGAAGGAACUCCAUGCUUGCAAGAGGGGGAGGAAGGUUGUGAGAACGUAUGUUGAUGAAUACGAACUACUUUGAUUAGCCCCUUUGGUGAAAAAUCCUAUCUGACUAAUCUUCAUGAGAUUGCAGUGGUAGAAGUUGCACAUGGGGUUUUGGGUGUAAAUCACGUAUCCUCCAUUGGCAGGGAAGUCCUAUAGGUCCUUGCUCGGACAACCAAGGGUUGUAGGUCAGCUCCGACGAAGCUUUCACAUACGAGAGAAGGAGGGGUAGAGUGGAGAGAAUGAAGCGACGACGGUUGCAGUGCCGUCAUUACGGCUGGCAACUGAAAAAGGGGAGUUUUGUUUUAGGUUAGCAGCGACCGCAAGAGUAUUGUCAAGAGCUGCGAUGUCAGCCAUGGGGUCGGCGGGUUGUGGCUGAAUGGAGAGAAUAUGUAGUUGGGUUGAUAUCACUAUUUUUUGUUUUGGAGUCUCUUAGCACUAUAUUUUUUUAGGGAUUUAACAUUCCCAUUAUCAAUAAUACUGGAUGCUUUUUUUAGGAAAA